AGUUUAUUCAUAUAUUUGGUUACAAAGUUGCUUGCAAUGGGAACGAUUUGUACUUAUUUCUGAGUUUGUAGUUUACUAUAAAUUUCAGAUACUUUACUUUGAGGAAAUUAGAGUGUUUCAAGCAAGCUUAUGCUUUGAAUACUGCAGCAUGGAAUAAUAUAAUAGGACUUCGGCCCUAUUUGUUGGUUUCUAGGUCUGAAGUAAUGAUUAAUAGGGACAGUUGGGGGCAUUCGUAUUUAACAGUCAGAGGUGAAAUUCUUGGAUUUGUUAAAGACGAACUACUGCGAAAGCAUUUGCCAAGGAUGUUUUCAUUGAUCAAGAACGAAAGUUAGGGGAUCGAAGACGAUCAGACACCGUCCUAGUCUUAACCAUAAACUAUGCCGACUAGAGAUUGGAGGUAUUAUUAAAAUAUUCCUUCAGCACCUUAUGAGAAAUCAAAGUCCUUGGGUUCUGGGGGGAGUAUGGUCGCAAGGCUGAAACUUAAAGGAAUUGACGGAAGGGCACCACCAGGAGUGGAGCCUGCGGCUUAAUUUGACUCAACACGGGGAAACUCACCAGGUCCAGACACGGUAAGGAUUGACAGAUUGAUAGCUCUUUCUUGAUUCUGUGGGUGGUGGUGCAUGGCCGUUCUUAGUUGGUGGAGUGAUUUGUCUGGUUAAUUCCGUUAACGAACGAGACCUUAACCUGCUAAAUAGUCGCAAUAAGAUUCGUCUUGUUGAUUGGCUUCUUAGAGGGACUUUGUG
Molecule: ribosomal RNA, 743 nt
Filed under: uncultured eukaryote
Lineage: Eukaryota
Description: bacterial SSU rRNA
Rfam family: Eukaryotic small subunit ribosomal RNA
Source: RNAcentral